UGACAACCAGGAAUAGCCACUACAAUC
Molecule: non-coding RNA, 27 nt
Filed under: Mus musculus (house mouse)
Lineage: Eukaryota; Metazoa; Chordata; Mammalia; Rodentia; Muridae
Source: RNAcentral